Molecule: ribosomal RNA, 222 nt
Filed under: uncultured Chromatiales bacterium
Lineage: Bacteria; Pseudomonadati; Pseudomonadota; Gammaproteobacteria; Chromatiales
Description: partial 16S ribosomal RNA
Rfam family: Bacterial small subunit ribosomal RNA
Source: RNAcentral
GCUGGCGGCAUGCCUAACACAUGCAAGUCGAACGGUAACGCGGAGAGCUUGCUCUCUGGCGACGAGUGGCGGACGGGUGAGUAAUACUUAGGAAUCUGCCCAGUAGUGGGGGACAACUCGGGGAAACUCGAGCUAAUACCGCAUACGCCCUACGGGGGAAAGCGGGGGAUCUUCGGACCUCGCGCUAUUGGAUGAGCCUAAGUCGGAUUAGCUUGUUGGUGA